Molecule: ribosomal RNA, 500 nt
Filed under: uncultured bacterium
Lineage: Bacteria
Description: partial 16S ribosomal RNA
Rfam family: Bacterial small subunit ribosomal RNA
Source: RNAcentral
AUUGAACGCUGGCGGCAUGCCUUACACAUGCAAGUCGAACGGCAGCACGGGAGCAAUCCUGGUGGCGAGUGGCGAACGGGUGAGUAAAGUAUCGGAACGUGCCCAGUCGUGGGGGAUAACGUAGCGAAAGUUACGCUAAUACCGCAUACGAUCUAUGGAUGAAAGCGGGGGAUCGCAAGACCUCGCGCGAUUUGAGCGGCCGAUAUCAGAUUAGGUAGUUGGUGGGGUAAAGGCUCACCAAGCCGACGAUCUGUAGCUGGCAUGAGAGGACGAGCAGCCAGACUGGGACUGAGACACGGCCCAGACUCCUCCGGGAGGCAGCAGUGGGGAAGUUUGGACAAUGUGCGCAAGCCUGAUCCAGCCAUGCCGCGGUCAGGAUGAAGGCCUUCGGGUUGUAAACUGCUUUUGUACGGAACGAAAAGGUUUGACUUAAUACGUUGGACUCAUGACGGUACCGUAAGAAUAAGCACCGGCUAACUACGUGCCAGCCGCCGCGGUAA